AUUGAACGCUGGCGGCAUGCCUUACACAUGCAAGUCGAACGGCAGCACGGGAGCAAUCCUGGUGGCGAGUGGCGAACGGGUGAGUAAUAUAUCGGAACGUGCCCAGUCGUGGGGGAUAACGUAGCGAAAGCUACGCUAAUACCGCAUACGAUCUAUGGAUGAAAGCGGGGGGAUCGCAAGACCUCGCGCGAUUGGAGCGGCCGAUAUCAGAUUAGGUAGUUGGUGGGGUAAAAGCCUACCAAGCCUUCGAUCUGUAGCUGGUCUGAGAGGACGACCAGCCACACUGGAACUGAGACACGGUCCAGACUCCUACGGGAGGCAGCAGUGGGGAAUUUUGGACAAUGGGCGCAAGCCUGAUCCAGCAAUGCCGCGUGCAGGAUGAAGGCCUCGGUUGU
RNAcentral lists this ribosomal RNA (395 nucleotides) under uncultured bacterium. RNAcentral's name for it is "bacterial SSU rRNA". It matches the Rfam family "Bacterial small subunit ribosomal RNA", at positions 30 to 426 of the family's 1533-position model. The record is from RNAcentral.